This is a non-coding RNA of Zootermopsis nevadensis, 588 nucleotides long. The record is from RefSeq and is a predicted model, not a curated record. NCBI's taxonomy places the organism in Eukaryota, Metazoa, Arthropoda, Insecta, Blattodea, Termopsidae.
CUAGGAGAGAAUGUUGAAAUGUCGGCAAAGUUCUACCAGAGUACACAGCGCAACAGUCCAGAAGACAAUAAUUUUAAUGAAAAUCUGAAAUCUCACCUAUUGGAUGUUGAAUUGUGUACAAAAUAUUAUUUUAAGUGUCAGUUACGGUCUUGAAGCGUAGGCCUAAUUGUGAAAAUAUGUUUUAACUUUUUCAGCGUAAUGACUGGCGGAGCCGGUAUCUCUCGUUUGGAUCAAGAUGUCUUUUGUAACGGAUGGGAGGUACGUCAAGAAAGAACGUGGAUGACAGAAAGGAGGAGAGAUUUAAAAAAGGCAAGAAAAAAGAUAGUGUUAUUUCCUUCUUCCUUAUGGACGAUAGAGAAAAUUGUGCACAUCAAUUCGAAGACUAGCAAUCACGGAAAUGCUUUGAGAUACAUGUAACAAGGUACCGAUUCUAGCCAACAUUAAAUCAUUCUGCACUUUUGAAAGUAUAUCCCAACACAAAAUUUGAGGCGCCAUGGCGACCCGAAUUUGUGAGAAGGAGCGGAGAGAGAAAGGAAAGAAGAUAAGAAAUAAAGAAGAGGGGAAAGAAAAGUGAAGAUAAAUAGGGAA